Pelagibacterium halotolerans B2 is the source of this 73-nucleotide transfer RNA. It matches the Rfam family "tRNA". From Rfam's summary of the family: Transfer RNA (tRNA) molecules are approximately 80 nucleotides in length. Their secondary structure includes four short double-helical elements and three loops (D, anti-codon, and T loops). Further hydrogen bonds mediate the characteristic L-shaped molecular structure. tRNAs have two regions of fundamental functional importance: the anti-codon, which is responsible for specific mRNA codon recognition, and the 3' end, to which the tRNAs corresponding amino acid is attached (by aminoacyl-tRNA synthetases). tRNAs cope with the degeneracy of the genetic code in two manners: having more than one tRNA (with a specific anti-codon) for a particular amino acid; and 'wobble' base-pairing, i.e. permitting non-standard base-pairing at the 3rd anti-codon position. NCBI's taxonomy places the organism in Bacteria, Pseudomonadati, Pseudomonadota, Alphaproteobacteria, Hyphomicrobiales, Devosiaceae. The record is from Rfam.
GGGUGUAUAGCUCAGUUGGUAGAGCAGCUGACUCUUAAUCAGCGGGUCCAAGGUUCGAGCCCUUGUACACCCA